RNAcentral lists this ribosomal RNA (650 nucleotides) under Enterococcus faecalis. RNAcentral's name for it is "bacterial SSU rRNA". It matches the Rfam family "Bacterial small subunit ribosomal RNA", at positions 1 to 626 of the family's 1533-position model. Lineage: Bacteria; Bacillati; Bacillota; Bacilli; Lactobacillales; Enterococcaceae. The record is from RNAcentral.
AUGAGAGUUUGAUCCUGGCUCAGGACGAACGCUGGCGGCGUGCCUAAUACAUGCAAGUCGAACGCUUCUUUCCUCCCGAGUGCUUGCACUCAAUUGGAAAGAGGAGUGGCGGACGGGUGAGUAACACGUGGGUAACCUACCCAUCAGAGGGGGAUAACACUUGGAAACAGGUGCUAAUACCGCAUAACAGUUUAUGCCGCAUGGCAUAAGAGUGAAAGGCGCUUUCGGGUGUCGCUGAUGGAUGGACCCGCGGUGCAUUAGCUAGUUGGUGAGGUAACGGCUCACCAAGGCCACGAUGCAUAGCCGACCUGAGAGGGUGAUCGGCCACACUGGGACUGAGACACGGCCCAGACUCCUACGGGAGGCAGCAGUAGGGAAUCUUCGGCAAUGGACGAAAGUCUGACCGAGCAACGCCGCGUGAGUGAAGAAGGUUUUCGGAUCGUAAAACUCUGUUGUUAGAGAAGAACAAGGACGUUAGUAACUGAACGUCCCCUGACGGUAUCUAACCAGAAAGCCACGGCUAACUACGUGCCAGCAGCCGCGGUAAUACGUAGGUGGCAAGCGUUGUCCGGAUUUAUUGGGCGUAAAGCGAGCGCAGGCGGUUUCUUAAGUCUGAUGUGAAAGCCCCCGGCUCAACCGGGGAGGGUCAU